ACACCCUAGCCUAGAAUGCUGGGACGGGAAGCCAGGGGCUUUUCUGGAAGGGUUUACUCUCGCCCCACCCAAAGCACUGCUCUCCACGGGCUCGGGCUCGGGGAUGGGGGCGGGGGCAGGGGCUCCAACCGGGAGGUGCGUGGCUCUCGUGACACUCUCGGUGGGGGUGGUAGUCGGCCGAAGGCCAUUUUGACACUUGGCCUCGUCUCUGCCUCUGGGCAACUCUGGGCGGUCCCUCCGUCCUCUGGGGGCCCCGGGAAGCCUGGGGUCCGGCGCCCGGCUCGGGCUUUCCCGGUAGGGGCCACGUGGCCCUGCCCGGGCGGGGGGCUCGCCUCCCCCUCGCCCGCCAGCCCCGGUGACUCAGGCCGCAGCUGUUCCCGCGUCACGAGGGAGGCUGGCGGCCACCCCGCGGGGGAGGGGGCUGGCUGGAGCCGGGGCGGGGCCGCGCGGCAGGCGGGGCGCGAGCGGGGGGCGCAGGCGGGGAGACGGCGGCUGACCCGCGGCCGGAGAGCAUCGUGCGACGUCGGGGAGCGCAGGCCCAGCAGCCAUGGCGGUGGAAGGAGGAAUGAAGUGUGUCAAGUUCUUGCUCUACGUUCUUCUGCUGGCCUUCUGCGCCUGUGCCGUGGGAUUGAUUGCAGUUGGUGUAGCAGCUCAGGUUUUCUUGAAUCAGACCAUCAGCCAGGAGACCACGCCAGCCUCCCUGUUGCCUGUGGUCAUCAUUGCAGUGGGCGCCUUCCUCUUCCUGGUGGCCUUUGUGGGCUGCUGUGGGGCCUGCAAGGAGAACUCCUGUCUUAUGAUUACAUUUGCCGUCUUCCUGUCUCUCAUCGUGCUUGUGGAGGUGGCUGUGGCCAUUGCUGGCUACGUGUUCAGAGACAAGGUGGAGUCAGAGGUCAGUAAGAGCUUCCAGAAGCAGAUGCAGAAUUACCUGAAAGACAACAGAACAGCGUCGGUUCUGGACGGGUGGCAGCAGCGAUUUAACUGCUGUGGGGCUAAUAACUACACAGACUGGGAGACUGUCCCUGGGAUGGCCAAGGACCGAGUCCCCGAUUCCUGCUGCGUCAACGUCACUGUGGGCUGUGGGACCGACUUCAAAUUACCCACCAUCCAUACUCAG
Molecule: RNA transcript, 1114 nt
Organism: Alexandromys fortis (reed vole)
Lineage: Eukaryota; Metazoa; Chordata; Mammalia; Rodentia; Cricetidae
Gene: Cd63
Gene name: CD63 molecule
Exons: 6
Source: RefSeq, a predicted model, not a curated record